AUCAUCAUGCUUACAAGGUUAUCUCUUCAUUAUCCCCUAUGCAUAUGCAACAAUCCUAUAUGAAACACUCUA
Molecule: small RNA, 72 nt
Filed under: Arabidopsis thaliana (thale cress)
Lineage: Eukaryota; Viridiplantae; Streptophyta; Magnoliopsida; Brassicales; Brassicaceae
Description: ATSL091920
Source: RNAcentral